RNAcentral lists this non-coding RNA (573 nucleotides) under Bifidobacterium gallicum. Lineage: Bacteria; Bacillati; Actinomycetota; Actinomycetes; Bifidobacteriales; Bifidobacteriaceae. The record is from RNAcentral.
GCUUGUGCAGGAAGUCCUUGCGCCGGUCGGCGCCCUGCGCCUGAAUGCGGGCGACUUUCAGCCGGGCCUUCUCGUAGUUGCGACUUCCCUUCUGCUUGCGGGCCAGAUUGCGCUGCGCUUUCCCCAGCCGUUUCGCGUUGCGCUUGCGGAAACGCGGGUUGGGGAUUUUCUCGCCGUCCGAGAGCGCGGCGAGAAAAUCCACUCCCAUGUCGACGCCGAUUCGUGUGUCGGUCCUGGGUAUCGGCUUGACGUGUUCCUCCACGAGGAUGCUCACAUGCCAGCGUCCCGCCGCGUCCAAGGAUAUGGUGACGCUGGAGGGAACGGCUUUCACGGGAAGCGUCCUUGACCAGAUGACACGCAACGGUUCCUUCAUUUUCGCCAGCUUGAGAUGACGCUUGCAGCCGUCCCAUGUGAAAGCGUAGCGGGUGAAGGUGGCCGAACCGCCAUGCGCCUUGCGUUUGAACGCGGGGAAGUCCCCCGUGUGGUUGAAAAAGCUCGAGUACGCGGUUUGCAGAUGACGUAGCGCCUGCUGCAAUGGUACGCAGGACACGUCGUUGAGGAACGCCAGCCCUU